RNAcentral lists this unclassified non-coding RNA (314 nucleotides) under plant metagenome. Its description in RNAcentral is "partial contains 5.8S ribosomal RNA, internal transcribed spacer 2, and large subunit ribosomal RNA". The stretch from base 1 to 105 matches the Rfam family "5.8S ribosomal RNA", at positions 50 to 154 of the family's 154-position model. The record is from RNAcentral.
GAAAUGCGAUAAGUAAUGUGAAUUGCAGAAUUCCGUGAAUCAUCGAAUCUUUGAACGCACAUUGCGCCCCCUGGUAUUCCGGGGGGCAUGCCUGUCCGAGCGUCAUUUCAAACCCUCAAGCACGGCUUGUGUGAUGGGCGACGCGUCCGCUCCGGUAGCGGACGGGCCCCAAAUGGAGUGUGCGGCGCGGUGCGCUUGGCUGCAGUGUAUGGGAACAUCUGUCACACGUUCGCGGUGCGGACCGGCGCCUGCUUGACUUUUCUGAUUAUCCAGGUUGACCUCGGAUCAGGUAGGGAUACCCGCUGAACUUAAGC